RNAcentral lists this non-coding RNA (76 nucleotides) under Olea europaea subsp. europaea. The record is from RNAcentral. Lineage: Eukaryota; Viridiplantae; Streptophyta; Magnoliopsida; Lamiales; Oleaceae.
AGGAGCCGUGUGAGAAAGUCUCAUGCACGGUUUUGAAUGAGAGAAAGAAGUGAGGAAUCCUCUUUUCGACUCUAAC